UACGUAGGUGGCAAGCGUUGUCCGGAUUUACUGGGCGUAAAGAGCGCGCAGGCGGUCGUUCAAGUCGCGUGUGAAAGCCCCCGGCUCAACUGGGGAGGGUCACGCGAUACUGAUCGACUCGAAGGCAGGAGAGGGUAGUGGAAUUCCCGGUGUAGUGGUGAAAUUCGUAGAUAUUAGGAAGAACACCGGUGGCGAAGGCGGCCCACUGGUCCGGUACUGACGCUGAGGUGCGAAAGCGUGGGGAGCAAACAGG
This 253-nucleotide ribosomal RNA is filed under the name uncultured bacterium. RNAcentral describes it as "partial 16S ribosomal RNA". It matches the Rfam family "Bacterial small subunit ribosomal RNA", at positions 524 to 776 of the family's 1533-position model. The record is from RNAcentral.